CAAUAGCGUAUAUUAAAGUUGUUGCAGUUAAAAAGCUCGUAGUUGGAUUUCGGGAUGGGCCAGUCGGUCUGCCGUAAGGUAUGUUACUGGCUGGUCUGUCCUUCUUCGCAAAGACUGCGUGUGCCCUUAAUUGUGUGUGCGUAGGAUUUGCGACGUUACUUUGAAAAAUUAGAGUGUUCAAAGCAGGCUGACCGCUUGAAUACACGAGCAUGGAAUAAUGGAAUAGGACUUUGGUUCUAUUUUGUUGGUUUCUUGAACCGAAGUAAUGAUUAAGAGGGACAGUUGGGGCCGUUUAUAUUUCGUUGUCAGAGGUGAAAUUCUUGGAUUUACGAAAGAUAAACUUCUGCGAAAGCAUUCGGCAAGGAUGUUUUCAUUGAUCAAGAACGAAAGUUAGGGGAUCGAAGACGAUUAGAUACCA
This 418-nucleotide ribosomal RNA is filed under the name uncultured eukaryote. RNAcentral's name for it is "SSU rRNA". It matches the Rfam family "Eukaryotic small subunit ribosomal RNA", at positions 592 to 1017 of the family's 1831-position model. The record is from RNAcentral.